Molecule: ribosomal RNA, 383 nt
Filed under: uncultured bacterium
Lineage: Bacteria
Description: bacterial SSU rRNA
Rfam family: Bacterial small subunit ribosomal RNA
Source: RNAcentral
AGUGAACGCUGGCGGCAGGCCUAAUACAUGCAAGUCGAACGGCAGCACAGCAGAGCUUGCUCUGUGGGUGGCGAGUGGCGGACGGGUGAGGAACACGUAGGAAUCUGCCUUGUAGUGGGGGAUAGCCCAGAGAAAUUUGGAGUAAUACCGCAUAUGCCCUGAGGGGGAAAGUGGGGGACCGAAAGGCCUCACGCUAUGAGAGGAGCCUGCGUCGGAUUAGCUAGUUGGUGGGGUAAGAGCCCACCAAGGCGACGAUCCGUAGCUGGUCUGAGAGGAUGAUCAGCCACACUGGGACUGAGACACGGCCCAGACUCCUACGGGAGGCAGCAGUGGGGAAUAUUGGACAAUGGGCGAAAGCCUGAUCCAGCCAUGCCGCGUGUGUG